Molecule: ribosomal RNA, 830 nt
Filed under: Bacillus siamensis
Lineage: Bacteria; Bacillati; Bacillota; Bacilli; Caryophanales; Bacillaceae
Description: bacterial SSU rRNA
Rfam family: Bacterial small subunit ribosomal RNA
Source: RNAcentral
AUCUAUCAUGCAGUCGAGCGGACAGAUGGGAGCUUGCUCCCUGAUGUUAGCGGCGGACGGGGAGUAACACGUGGGUAACCUGCCUGUAAGACUGGGAUAACUCCGGGAAACCGGGGCUAAUACCGGAUGGUUGUUUGAACCGCAUGGUUCAGACAUAAAAGGUGGCUUCGGCUACCACUUACAGAUGGACCCGCGGCGCAUUAGCUAGUUGGUGAGGUAACGGCUCACCAAGGCGACGAUGCGUAGCCGACCUGAGAGGGUGAUCGGCCACACUGGGACUGAGACACGGCCCAGACUCCUACGGGAGGCAGCAGUAGGGAAUCUUCCGCAAUGGACGAAAGUCUGACGGAGCAACGCCGCGUGAGUGAUGAAGGUUUUCGGAUCGUAAAGCUCUGUUGUUAGGGAAGAACAAGUGCCGUUCAAAUAGGGCGGCACCUUGACGGUACCUAACCAGAAAGCCACGGCUAACUACGUGCCAGCAGCCGCGGUAAUACGUAGGUGGCAAGCGUUGUCCGGAAUUAUUGGGCGUAAAGGGCUCGCAGGCGGUUUCUUAAGUCUGAUGUGAAAGCCCCCGGCUCAACCGGGGAGGGUCAUUGGAAACUGGGGAACUUGAGUGCAGAAGAGGAGAGUGGAAUUCCACGUGUAGCGGUGAAAUGCGUAGAGAUGUGGAGGAACACCAGUGGCGAAGGCGACUCUCUGGUCUGUAACUGACGCUGAGGAGCGAAAGCGUGGGGAGCGACAGGAUUAGAUACCCUGGUAGUCCCCGCCGUAAACGAUGAGUGCUAGUGUUAGGGGGUUUCCGCCCCUUAGUGCUGCAGCUACGCAUUAGC